Molecule: ribosomal RNA, 404 nt
Filed under: Xylographa vitiligo
Lineage: Eukaryota; Fungi; Ascomycota; Lecanoromycetes; Baeomycetales; Xylographaceae
Description: SSU rRNA
Rfam family: Bacterial small subunit ribosomal RNA
Source: RNAcentral
UAGCAGUGAGGAAUAUUGGUCAAUAGCCUAACGGCUGAACCAGCAACUUGGAGGAACAUACGGCAAUAGCUGGUUGCAUUAACAAUUAGUUAUUACAACAUCGACUAUGUCGAAUAAAGUUCUAGGUAGAGUUAUGAUAAUGACAUUUUCUAUCUAUGUGUCUUGACCAAAUCACGUGCCAGCAGUCGCGGUAAUACGUGGAAGACUAGUGUUAUUCAUCUUUAAUUGGUUUAAAGGGUACCUAGACGGUCUAUUAAGCCCCUAAAGGGUACUUACAGACUAGAGUUUGAUGAGAGGGGGGAAGUACGAGAGAGUGUAGAGAUGAAAUUCUGUCAUACCUUACUUGGAACAGGCAACGGCGAAAGCAACUCCUUAUGUAAAAACUGACGUUGAAGGACGAAGGA